This 69-nucleotide transfer RNA is filed under the name Chaetodermis penicilligerus (prickly leatherjacket). RNAcentral describes it as "tRNA-Met". It matches the Rfam family "tRNA". From Rfam's summary of the family: Transfer RNA (tRNA) molecules are approximately 80 nucleotides in length. Their secondary structure includes four short double-helical elements and three loops (D, anti-codon, and T loops). Further hydrogen bonds mediate the characteristic L-shaped molecular structure. tRNAs have two regions of fundamental functional importance: the anti-codon, which is responsible for specific mRNA codon recognition, and the 3' end, to which the tRNAs corresponding amino acid is attached (by aminoacyl-tRNA synthetases). tRNAs cope with the degeneracy of the genetic code in two manners: having more than one tRNA (with a specific anti-codon) for a particular amino acid; and 'wobble' base-pairing, i.e. permitting non-standard base-pairing at the 3rd anti-codon position. The record is from RNAcentral. Lineage: Eukaryota; Metazoa; Chordata; Actinopteri; Tetraodontiformes; Monacanthidae.
AGUAAAGUCAGCUAAAAAAGCUCUUGGGCCCAUACCCCAAACAUGUUGGUUAAAAUCCUUCCUUUGCUA